RNAcentral lists this long non-coding RNA (785 nucleotides) under Fukomys damarensis (Damara mole-rat). RNAcentral describes it as "lncRNA (ENSFDAG00000031324.1)". Lineage: Eukaryota; Metazoa; Chordata; Mammalia; Rodentia; Bathyergidae. The record is from RNAcentral.
AAAUUAUUAAAACAAUAUUGAUAUUUAACUCAUCGUAUCCUAAUUAAUUUAGGACAUUUACCAUUAUCUGUACCCUUGAGGUUAUUUCCAUCUGUUACAUCUGUCACGUGGAAACAGUUUUCUUCUUUGUGGUACUGGGGACUGAACUCAGGGCCUUCGCACUGAACUACAUUCCCAGCCCUCUUUUUAUUUUUUUACUUUGAGGGAAGGUCUUGCUAAGUGACUAAGUUGCCCAGGCUGUGCUCUAACUUGUGAUCUUCCGGCCUCCACCUCCCCAAGUGCUGCCAUCGCCACCACCACACCCAGCUGGAAACACUUUGAAACAGUGAGCAACGGUACAUCUCUCCCCGUCUCCCUGUUCACUGACAUCACAAUUGGGGGCUUGCACUGGGCCACCGUGGGACUGCUUACAUCACAGAAAUUGGCAUAUGCUGUGCACCGGGGCUUGGGUUUGUUUUGUGUACUUAAGAUAAUCAGAACGUUGAUCAGAGUAAAACCAAAGCGCAUCAAGUCUGUAACUGUUACAAGCGUGAAGUGCUAAGAACUGCGUCAGUACGUAGACGGGAGAUGCUCACAUCUUUGAUAGAGAGUACCGCUCCAAUGAGCAUUUCCGUUCGACCUGUUGAGGUUCAUGUUGGAACUACAGUGAGCUCCUGGCUGGGGCCUGGACUUCCGGGACAUUUCCAGGUUCAGCAGAGGGUAAAAUCCAGGGGCUCGUCUUACAAAAAGGAAAGUUUGGAGCUAAACAGAACCAAGAGUUGAACUCACGUUUUCAGCCUCCCAAU